GACGAACGCUGGCGGCGUGCUUAACACAUGCAAGUCGAACGAAGAGCGAUGGAAGCUUGCUUCUAUUAAUCUUAGUGGCGAACGGGUGAGUAACGCGUAAUCAACCUGCCCUUCAGAGGGGGACAACAGUUGGAAACGACUGCUAAUACCGCAUACGAUCCAAUCUCGGCAUCGAGACUGGAUGAAAGGUGGCCUCUAUUUAUAAACUAUCACUGAAGGAGGGGAUUGCGUCUGAUUAGCUAGUUGGAGGGGUAACGGCCCACCAAGGCGAUGAUCAGUAGCCGGUCUGAGAGGAUGAACGGCCACGUUGGGACUGAGACACGGCCCAGACUCCUACGGGAGGCAGCAGUGGGGAAUCUUCCGCAAUGGACGAAAGUCUGACGGAGCAACGCCGCGUGAGUGAUGACGGCCUUCGGGUUGUAAAGCUCUGUUAAUCGGGACGAAUGGUUCUUGUGCGAAUAGUGCGAGGAUUUGACGGUACCGGAAUAGAAAGCCACGGCUA
RNAcentral lists this ribosomal RNA (502 nucleotides) under Veillonella atypica. RNAcentral's name for it is "bacterial SSU rRNA". It matches the Rfam family "Bacterial small subunit ribosomal RNA", at positions 28 to 499 of the family's 1533-position model. The record is from RNAcentral. Lineage: Bacteria; Bacillati; Bacillota; Negativicutes; Veillonellales; Veillonellaceae.